UGAAUCAAGUUGGAGACAGAAGAAGAGAACGAUUCAGAGGGCUCCACGAGGACCGGCGUCUCCUGACUUGAUCAUGCCCUCUAGAACAGUAUGUGACCAGGAGAGCUGGAUGCAAAGUCACUAAGAGAUUACCUGCACCCACCUCCAGAGAUUGUGCCCGACACCCUGCACUGGCAGGCAUCGGCCCAGGGGUCCAGAGGGUGAGUGGCCUGCAAGAUUCACAAGAGCAGAGGCAGACAGAGACAACUACAGAGGGAGUGCUCCUGGAGCUGACAAGAACGCUGAGGCUAGGGACUGGCUCAGCAGCUGAGUUCCAGUUCAGAGGCAGCUUUGGUUGUGGACAUGGUCAGCCACCUCAGGGAAGUUGGAG
Molecule: long non-coding RNA, 370 nt
Filed under: Mus spicilegus (steppe mouse)
Lineage: Eukaryota; Metazoa; Chordata; Mammalia; Rodentia; Muridae
Description: lncRNA (ENSMSIG00000014683.1)
Source: RNAcentral